ACGUGACCACAAUAUUUACCAGAAGACCGUUAUUUGCUCGAGUACCCUCAACUUUUUUGUCGCAAAUAACAUUAUUAAUAACCUGUAAAUAAUAAAUUUUGUACACAUUACGUUCCUCUUCACUUUGUAAUAGUAUGUUUUUUGGUUUAAUAGUCGGCUUUAAGUUAGUUUUCCUGUCAGUUUGAUCGUCAAAAUCUUGAAAGUUAUCUGCAGCCACACAUCCACUGUAUACCAAGUUAUGAUGAACAAUUAUGAAAAUGCAAAAGGAUUGAUAGAUCAGUAAACAAGCAACAAAAAGCUUUACAAAAAAUGUAGAAUUUGUAGGAGCGCAUGGACAUCUGAGUAACAAAGUCAUAUUAUGCAGAUGGGUGCUCAUGGUGGCCUCCAAAUAAAUACAUGGACAGGCUGCUAAAGAGGGUCAGGAUGAUGGAGAUGCAAGAGCCAAAGACAGCACAGACCAAACACCAGGCCAGAAUUCUGCAUGAGUCAGAUUGAGUAAUUUUCACUCUAGAGACCCUUGGGUGACCACCAAGGACGAAUGCAAACUCCAGUGAGUGUCUCUAAGGUAGAUCCUAAUGCAGAUGGAUGGAAUGUUGAUCCGCCUAACAUGCAAGCUACAGAGGGCAUCCUUUAUUCAGUCCCUAAUGCAGAUGGUUGGAGUGUUGAUCUACCUAACAUGAGGGGUAAAAGAGUGUUUGUUAGCAUAAUGAGAAAGAAAACAGAAACACAUUAUUAGUGGCAUUUAAAAACAUAACACUUGUUUAUACUACAUUUUAUGUUCAAUCCAUAGAGCACUCGUUUUGAGUCCUGAGACCCUGGGGUGACCACCGUGAACAAAUACAGACUGCAAUAGCAGUCUUGACGGUACUAGGAUGAAUGCAAAUAAAGACUAACCACCUGACAUCAGCUGUCCAGUCUCUUGUGGGAAGCAGGUGCUUGUUACCCCAAAUACGGAUGAAGAGUGACGAAGAGGAUGAUGA
Paramisgurnus dabryanus is the source of this 980-nucleotide non-coding RNA. NCBI's taxonomy places the organism in Eukaryota, Metazoa, Chordata, Actinopteri, Cypriniformes, Cobitidae. The record is from RefSeq and is a predicted model, not a curated record.